Molecule: long non-coding RNA, 727 nt
Filed under: Homo sapiens (human)
Lineage: Eukaryota; Metazoa; Chordata; Mammalia; Primates; Hominidae
Description: long non-coding RNA NONHSAT005990.2
Source: RNAcentral
CCUCAUCUGGCCAACCAUCUUCAGCUGCCAAUGGACAAGUGUCUUCCUGGUACUGCACAUGAAGAUGUCCCGCUCUCCCCUGCUCAAGGAGAGAGUGCCUGACCUGAGCUGGGCCCAUCAGAUCCAGUACUUACCUGGAAUAGGAAAAAGAUGGGGAGAGUGACCAAAGACUACAAAAAUCUCUGAAGCUUAUCUACUUGAGAGAGAGUCCCUGAAGAUACUGGCCUCUCAUUCCUGCUAUGUAUAUCCAAUGUGACUGAACUCUGAAUAAAAUAUACAAGUUAUAACAAUGUAGCAAUUGACCCAGCAAACGAGGACACAAACGUGUUGAAGGGUGUCUACGGAGAAAUAGACAAGCGAUGCACGACAGAUACAUGUGUCAGUCUGGUCCCUGCAGUUGUAUUUGUAAUAAUACACAUUGGAGCAAUUUCAUGGCCAUCGGUUAGAGAAUGUUUGAGGAAUGAUCCUUUCAUAUCAAGAAGGACAUUUCAAAGAUCAAAACCUGAUGGAAAUGCUGGAGACCAUGGCGCUGAUAGGAGCUCAUGCGUGUUGUCCAAUUACUACGUGACAGGCAUUGGCUCCAUGCUUUUCCUGCACUGCUCAUUUAAACACUGGACAACCUAAGUGUUCUGAUUUAGCCCAUUGGACAGAUAGAAAUGGAGGCACAGAAGAUUAAUGUGUUUAACUUCAAACCCUGGCAGAUUAGGUUUUUCAUCCAGAGCCUGUG